UACAGAGGGUGCGAGCGUUGUUCGGAAUUAUUGGGCGUAAAGGGUGCGUAGGCGGUGCGGCAAGUCUGUUGUGAAAUCUCCGGGCUCAACUCGGAGUCUGCAUCAGAAACUGCCGUGCUGGAGUGUGGGAGAGGUGAGUGGAAUUCCCGGUGUAGCGGUGAAAUGCGUAGAGAUCGGGAGGAACACCUGCGGCGAAAGCGGCUCACUGGACCAUAACUGACGCUGAUGCACGAAAGCUAGGGGAGCAAACAGG
RNAcentral lists this ribosomal RNA (253 nucleotides) under uncultured bacterium. RNAcentral describes it as "partial 16S ribosomal RNA". It matches the Rfam family "Bacterial small subunit ribosomal RNA", at positions 524 to 776 of the family's 1533-position model. The record is from RNAcentral.